Long non-coding RNA from Canis lupus familiaris (dog), 617 nucleotides. RefSeq lists it as uncharacterized. The record is from RefSeq and is a predicted model, not a curated record. NCBI's taxonomy places the organism in Eukaryota, Metazoa, Chordata, Mammalia, Carnivora, Canidae. The transcript is spliced from 2 exons.
CUGCAGGCCAGAGGGGAGCCGGCCCGCAGCCAGGAACAGAGCAAGUACUCCUGGCGCCGAGCCCCACCAGAGACGUGUGCCGAGGGACAGCCCAACGGGGCUCUUCUCCUUUUGGAAGACGCCAUCCUGCAAUUGCUCCUGUUCUGGGACAGUUUGCACGUCCCCUCUCUGGGCUGCAGUGGUUGGCCGUCUCCGGCUGAAGUGCAGUGGCCACGGUGGGCAGUUCCAGUGGGCCGCCUCCUGCAUGUGGCCUCCGCCACUCCGCACUGCCCCCACUUCUGUUGGCCGCGAGAGGAAGGGCCUGGCCUGGCCGCUCACACGCCGAGGAGGACAGCGCUGAAGUGGGAGCCACUGCGCACCGGCCUCCGGUGGACCACGUGGCACCCAGCAGUGCCCGGGACCAGACCCCUGGACGCCUCCCGGCAGCCUGGCUCCAGUUCCGCGGGUGAACUACCUAAACUUUCUGCGCCUUCAUUCCCUUAUUUGGAAGCACUGUACGCCAACCGUACUUGAACGAUGAACUUUUUUUUAGAAGAAGCGAACAGAGGAAAACUGGUACUACUGACCUUAAAACGCCAUGAUAACUAAGAUCAUUUACGUAAAGAGCUUAGAGCGGG